Molecule: transfer RNA, 67 nt
Filed under: Curculionidae sp. 3 AH-2016
Lineage: Eukaryota; Metazoa; Arthropoda; Insecta; Coleoptera; Curculionidae
Description: tRNA-Cys
Source: RNAcentral
GAUUAUAUAGUCUAUAAAGGACACUAAAUUGCAAGUUUAGAGGAAAAUAGGGAUAAUUUUAUAAUCU